GACAGAGGGUGCAAACGUUGUUCGGAAUUACUGGGCGUAAAGCGAGUGUAGGCGGUCUCAUAAGUCGGGUGUGAAAGCCCUGGGCUCAACCCAGGAAGUGCACUCGAUACUGCGAGGCUAGAGUAUCGGAGAGGUUGGUGGAAUUCUCGGUGUAGAGGUGAAAUUCGUAGAUAUGCGGAGGAACACCGACGGCGAAGGCAAUCCCCUGGGCCUGCACUGACGCUCAUGCCCGAAAGCGUGGGGAGCAAACAGG
This 253-nucleotide ribosomal RNA is filed under the name uncultured bacterium. RNAcentral's name for it is "partial 16S ribosomal RNA". It matches the Rfam family "Bacterial small subunit ribosomal RNA", at positions 524 to 776 of the family's 1533-position model. The record is from RNAcentral.